AACGAACGCUGGCGGCAUGCCUAACACAUGCAAGUCGAACGAAGGCUUCGGCCUUAGUGGCGCACGGGUGCGUAACGCGUGGGAAUCUGCCCUUUGCUUCGGAAUAACAGUUAGAAAUGACUGCUAAUACCGGAUGAUGUCGCAAGACCAAAGAUUUAUCGGCAAAGGAUGAGCCCGCGUAGGAUUAGCUAGUUGGUGGGGUAAAGGCCUGCCAAGGCGACGAUCCUUAGCUGGUCUGAGAGGAUGAUCAGCCACACUGGGACUGAGACACGGCCCAGACUCCUACGGGAGGCAGCAGUGGGGAAUAUUGGACAAUGGGCGAAAGCCCGAUCCAGCAAUGCCGCGUGAGUGAUGAAGGCCUUAGGGUUGUAAAGCUCUUUUACCCGGGAUGAUAAUGACAGUACCGGGAGAAUAAGCUCCGGCUAACUCCGUG
Molecule: ribosomal RNA, 433 nt
Filed under: uncultured bacterium
Lineage: Bacteria
Description: partial 16S ribosomal RNA
Rfam family: Bacterial small subunit ribosomal RNA
Source: RNAcentral